RNAcentral lists this ribosomal RNA (462 nucleotides) under uncultured Methanomicrobiales archaeon. RNAcentral describes it as "bacterial SSU rRNA". It matches the Rfam family "Archaeal small subunit ribosomal RNA", at positions 878 to 1338 of the family's 1478-position model. The record is from RNAcentral. Lineage: Archaea; Methanobacteriati; Methanobacteriota; Methanomicrobia; Methanomicrobiales.
ACCACAACAGGUGGAGCCUGCGGUUUAAUCGGACUCAAACGCCGGGAAACUCACCAGAUAAGACAGCUGAAUGAUAGUCGGGCCGAAGACUCUACUUGACUAGCUGAGAGGAGGUGCAUGGCCGUCGUCAGUUCGUACUGUGAAGCAUCCUGUUAAGUCAGGCAACGAGCGAGACCCACGCCAACAGUUGCCAGCUCGUCCUCCGGGAUGGUGGGGACACUGUUGGGACCGCCUCUGCUAAAGAGGAGGAAGGAAUGGGCAACGGUAGGUCAGCAUGCCCCGAAUUAUCUGGGCUACACGCGGGCUACAAUGGGUGGGACAAUGGGUAUCGACACCGAAAGGUGAAGGCAAUCUCCUAAACCCAUCCGUAGUUCGGAUUGUGGGCUGCAACUCGCCCACAUGAAGCUGGAAUCUGUAGUAAUCGUGUCUCAAAAUGGCACGGUGAAUAUGUCCCUGCUCCUU